Molecule: non-coding RNA, 69 nt
Organism: Podarcis lilfordi (Lilford's wall lizard)
Lineage: Eukaryota; Metazoa; Chordata; Lepidosauria; Squamata; Lacertidae
Source: the annotation of a GenBank genome assembly
GCCAUUGCUCAGCGGUAGAGCAUCUGCUUUGCAUGUGGAGGGCCCCAGGUUCAGUCCCUGCCAUCUCCU